GCGAGGAUGGCGGAACUAGGCAGACGCGCUGGAUUUAGGUUCCAGUACCCAACGGUGUGGGGGUUCGAUUCCCCCUCCUCGCA
RNAcentral lists this transfer RNA (83 nucleotides) under Deltaproteobacteria bacterium. RNAcentral's name for it is "tRNA-Leu". It matches the Rfam family "tRNA". From Rfam's summary of the family: Transfer RNA (tRNA) molecules are approximately 80 nucleotides in length. The record is from RNAcentral. Lineage: Bacteria; Pseudomonadati; Myxococcota; Myxococcia.